CGCACUCACAGUUCCUGCCGCCGCAUCCUUAACCGCCGCGGCUGCUAUAGCUACGGGGAGCCAAGGCAACCAGCUCUCGCGACACUUUCCUCAGCUAACGGCGAGAACAGCCGAGAAGAACAUCUAGCAAGAAACUCUGUGGACACAUCCUUAAUUCCUGACUCACAAAACUUAGUUGUAGGGCUUUCUCUAUGCUCUCAGACAACUGUAAAUGCAGACUGAGAAGCAUCUGGAACAGAAGAUGGAUUUAAAGAACGUAGUGGAGGUUGGUUGGAAAGUAGUGAGUUAUUUUAAUUGGUUGUUCACAGUCAGUUACAGAUCGAACUUACUCUCUUUUCCUCCUUCUCACUACUGCACUGGACUUAAAAACAGAACAACAACAACAACAGCAACAAAAGUUGGUGAACAAGGAAGAGUAAAACAGGAAGUAAUGUUUUGGAAUUUUCCCCCCAACUUUAAGGGUAGGCGCUUAAUUAUUUUAUGGUUAACUGAAAUCUCUAUGUCUCAUGAAGGUUAUGUGUCUUUGUACAGCUGAUGUCUCACACAAUACCUGGUAUACAGUAGGCACUCAAUAAACAUUUGUUAAAGGAA
Molecule: long non-coding RNA, 591 nt
Organism: Felis catus (domestic cat)
Lineage: Eukaryota; Metazoa; Chordata; Mammalia; Carnivora; Felidae
Exons: 2
Source: RefSeq, a predicted model, not a curated record